GGAGUUAGCCGGUGCUUCUUCUGUGAAUGAUGUCCUUCCUGCCGGUUAUUGACCCGCAGGCCUUCUUCCUCACUGAAAGUGCUUUACAACCCGAAGGCCUUCUUCACACACGCGGCAUGGCUGGAUCAGGGUUGCCCCCAUUGUCCAAUAUUCCCCACUGCUGCCUCCCGUAGGAGUCUGGGCCGUGUCUCAGUCCCAGUGUGGCUGAUCAUCCUCUCAGACCAGCUACGGAUCGUCGCCUUGGUGAGCCGUUACCUCACCAACCAGCUAAUCCGACAUAGGCUCAUCCGAUAGCGCGAGGCCCGAAGGUCCCCCGCUUUCCCCCGUAGGGCGUAUGCGGUAUUAGCCUGGGUUUCCCCAGGUUAUCCCCACUACCGGGCAGAUUCCUAUGCAUUACUCACCCGUCCGCCGCUCGCCACCAGGGAGCAAGCUCCCCGUGCUGCCGCUCGACUUGCAUGUGUUAGGCCUGCCGCCAGCGUUCAAUCUGAGCCAGAAUCAAACUCUGA
Molecule: ribosomal RNA, 506 nt
Filed under: uncultured bacterium
Lineage: Bacteria
Description: partial 16S ribosomal RNA
Source: RNAcentral